This 253-nucleotide ribosomal RNA is filed under the name uncultured bacterium. RNAcentral describes it as "partial 16S ribosomal RNA". It matches the Rfam family "Bacterial small subunit ribosomal RNA", at positions 524 to 776 of the family's 1533-position model. The record is from RNAcentral.
GACAGGGGAUGCAAGCGUUAUCCGGAAUGAUUGGGCGUAAAGCGUCUGUAGGUGGCUUUUUAAGUCUGCCGUCAAAUCUCAGGGCUUAACCCUGGACAGGCGGUGGAAACUACCAAGCUGGAGUACGGUAGGGGAAGAGGGAAUUUCCGGUGGAGCGGUGAAAUGCGUAGAGAUCGGAAAGAACACCAAAGGCGAAAGCACUCUGCUGGGCCGACACUGACACUGAGAGACGAAAGCUAGGGGAGCGAAUGGG